Long non-coding RNA from Fukomys damarensis (Damara mole-rat), 8116 nucleotides. RefSeq lists it as uncharacterized. Lineage: Eukaryota; Metazoa; Chordata; Mammalia; Rodentia; Bathyergidae. The record is from RefSeq and is a predicted model, not a curated record. The transcript is spliced from 3 exons.
UUUAAUGUUUAGGUUCAGUGUUGACUUUAUGAGGAGGGUUGGGGGCAAUGCAUUGUUCUCAACAUUUUGGACAGUAGAACUCUUUAAUGGAGGGGUUUGUUAGUAAGCAUCCUGCCACUGUGACAAAAUAUCUGAGAUCAUGAUGUUAUAAAGACAAAAGGUUUAUCCUUACGCACAGUGCCUCGCUGACUGGUGCUAUAGAAAAGCAGCAUGUAGGGAGGAAGUCUGUAGUGGUGAGACUUACUGGGGUCCUCUGAAGAUUCCACCAUCUCCCCCAAAACACCAGAGGCUGGAGACCAAACUUACAACAGGUGCACCUCUGGGAGACUUUCAAGAUCCAAAUUGUAACAAGAGGAAUCCCUCAGGACUAAGGUUACAGGGCAACAACUUGGGAAGCACCGCUGCCUUCAGUAGCGUUUAAUACCUCUAUACUUCAGUUUUUCAUGUGAAAAUGCAAUUAAUAUAUCAGAUUCUGCAGAGGAGUCAAUGAAGCCUGUCUUUUUCUUAGAGAUGGAGAUUUAGUUCUGGGUGUAUAUAUGAAAGGGCCUAGGUGAUAACAGUUGUCUAGUUGAUGUUAUUUUCCCCCUCUUCUUCACUGAAGGAUUAUAUGCAUAAACCUGCACCCAGCAGAAGCAAGUCCUUAUUUGCCCAGUGACAGAGCUUGACUUUACACACAGCAUGCAUUUAUAAGCAAUUAAUUAGAUAAUAUCCGCGGCCUGCUAGCAUAGGCUUAAUUGCUUACAGUAUGCUUUUCCGUUUGGAAAGCGUAUUCAGCCAUGUGAUCGCAAUCUAGCCUCAUCCAGCCCUGUGGAAGAGCAGGUAGUAUUAUUCAUUCCACUUAACUGAUGCAGAGAGCUUCAAAUACAUGCUUACCCAAGGUUAUGCAGCUGGUUACAAGUGGGCUUUAACUCUGAUCUGGGUUUCUCGCUGCUGUACCUCAAUCCCCACUCCACUUUCUACGAACUUAAUCCUCAUCUUUAAUGCCAGUUGAUCAGGCAGAACCUCUUGGGCUGGUCAGUGGAGAUGUGCUUCUGUUUUCUCUUUGAAAGAUGAAAAAGAAAAAAUAAUGCAAACAUUUCCUUUAGUAAAAUUCUUCAAGCGUUUUGUGUGUUGUCAACAGAGUCCCUUGGGAAGGGAGCCUUGGCUAGAACAGGAAGUUCCAGUGGGGAAUAAAACUGUUUCACUCAUAUAAAGCUGUGUUCUGGAUGGACAUUGGAACUUGGUGGGCAAAAGAAAGCCUAUUCACCCCCUGGAUCUGCGCUGAGACUGGCUGGUUGCUACUUAGAUCCUAACUCCGCAGUACACAGUACCCGGGAACUAGAACAGCACUCACAUGCCCAACUCUCCUUGGAAAUUGACCCCUCUCCAUGGUCUCAGGCAGCGUAGGAGCAGAUGGGAAGCAAUACCCCGUCCUCAAAAGCAGAGUUAUUUUGUGAGUCCCUGAAACCUUUAAAAUAUCCAUUACUUGGGAGUAGUUCAGAAACAAGAGUCAAGAAAUUGCCCGCUCCAAAAGUUUUAUCAAGGGAAGGGAGAAAAUGCAAGCAGCUUGAGAACUCAGAGCUGCCAAUUUGAAAGAGCAAUUUGCCUACAGCUGGAUUUAAUUAACAAGCCUGGGUCAAAAAGGAAGUCGAUCAUAAAAGUGCGAAUUGGAUGGAGGUGGAGGAACGAGAUGGUGACAUUCGUUUUCGGAGCUGGUAUCUUCUCACUGGAGAGUCUUCCUCCGUUUUCAGAAAGCCUAUUCCAGUGAUCUUAAUAAAAGAUUAAACUUGGAAGGAAAAAAUGCUUGGCCUUAUAGUAACCUAGUGUGUGUUUGAUAAAUUAUCUUUUGGGGGACACUAAACCAUGCUUUAUUCUCUCUUUAUACCACUAAGUAUAUUCCAUGCCCCAAAAGUAUUUUGCUAUUCCAGCUUCAGUACAGAAAGAAGAAGUGUAAAAGGGCCCAGGUAUACAGCAUUCUCCUGAAUCCUCUCUGAAUUCUUUUGGUUUGAGUGUUGCAUUAUCCCAAGAUCUUUUUUGUUUUUUGUUGUUUAUUUUAGAAAAGCCAAGAAGAACGAUAAUUUACAACUACUUAAAUACAUCAUGCAUUCAGUAAUAUAUUUUGUGGGGUGAAGAGCUUGUAUGCAAAGUCACAGCCUGAUGAGAAUUAACACAGCUGAGUAGGAAAUUCUGUACUAACUGUGCUCCUUUCUUCUUGCCGACUUCUGAAGGGGGGUCAUGGAGCUGCCUUCACAUGUGGGACCCUGUAGAUCUUGACAUCUUUCUUCUCUGCUGAUUCUGAUUUUGUGACAGAAUGAAACAGAAGUCUGAACACGAAGCGAGAGGCUUCCGAAGCUCUGGAGAUUUUUCUAAUCCUCCAAAUGUUCUCCAAUAAAAUCCUCCCUUAACGCCGUUGGUGCUGCCACAGCAUUCAUAACUGGGGGAAGUCUUGACAAGAAAAUGAGCCGUGGAAAACUACACAUAAACAAGUGAGUUCUCAUUUCACUGAAGACGUUUUGAAAUCACCUGAGAAGCUUUAUUGGAUGAACCAUAAAAUACAUAACAGAUCUCUCAUAACAUCAGGUUAUACACUGCUAAAGUGUCACAGGUGUCUAAAACUCAAUAAGUCCAGAGCAGAGUUCAUUAGGAAGUAGCCAUACGAACACAGUAGAAUAUUAAAAUCACAUGCAGUUUCUUUGGGGCCAGAAUGAAAUAGUCUGUAGUUUCCUUACUUAUUGACAAAUAGAGAUGAUAGAAACUAACAGUCCACUGAUCUUAGCAGAAAAUCAGAACAAGAAGUAAAAUUGCUUGGGAAAAGAAUCAGAGGCUGAGUUAGUAAAAUCCCAUUUUAUUUCAGCUUCUACGUGAUGUAAAAUCUCCCACUUCCAAAAGGUAUUUAUAACCUAAUCCCUGGAGGCUAUGAAUGUUACCUUGCAGGCAAGGAACUUUGCAGAAACAAUAAAGUUAUUAAGGACCUUGCCAUGUCAAUACCAUGCUGGUCUAUCCAGGUGGACUCCUGGCAAUCUGAGGGAGAGGGGAGGGGAGAGGGAGAGACACAGAGACAGAGACACAGAGAGAAAAUGCUAUUCUGCUGACUUUGGGAAUGGAGGGGGCCACAAGCCCAGGGAUACAAGUGGCUUCCAGAAGCUGGAGAAGGGAAGAGAUUCUCCCCAAGAGCCCAAGGUGGAGCAUAGCCCAGCCUUCUCCAUGACUGGAUACCAGGAAACCCAUUUCAGACUUCUGACCUCCACGAGUGAAAGUAUAGCUCACCCCGUUCUGGACAUCCCUGCCACCCAGCAUCUUCCUCCUGGAGUACAGCAGCUCCUCUCGGAGUCUGCGUCCCUCCCUCCCUGAACAGAACGUUCUGCAGUGGGCAUUGAGGAGGCCCUGGCAUGCAGCAUAGAAUCUCAUUCUUCCUGCAGCCUAGAGCUACCUGGGGAUGGUGAGUGUGUACAGGGGAUGAUAUGUGAGAAAAAUAAUUAGAAAUAACUGCAAAAAGGGUAGGCACGGCGCGGUACAAACAACCUGCUGUGAAAACACAGAUGAAGCGGCAAUUAAUUUCUGUCAUUUUCUAGCAAGGGUGGGUGACAAAUAUCUUCACUCUGCUUGUUCUCGUCCCAUCUGUUUCUCUCACUUCUAAUGGGGACAAUUUGGGAUCCGUGUUGUCAGUUUCUGCUACCAAAAUGUGAAGCUGGAGGAUGAAAUGUAUUCUGAUGUCAACCACAGAAGAUGCUGUAUUUCGUGUUAUGAAAGAACAGCUAGCAAGCCGACCUUCACAAAGAGCAACCGUCCCCAUUCCCUGCUGCCUGUUACUGCCACAGACAGCCAGCACUGGUUCAUUUCUGUCUCCUCCAACACUGCCAUCCUUCCCAAGAUUUUCUAACAGUUUACUCCUGCUCUCUGACCAGUGCCACAUACCUGGCUGUUCUGGCUGCCUUACACUUCGGGUGGAGACAGCCUAUGCGCCAAGAUGACCUGUUUGCCAAUCCAUCUCAAAUUUAGAGACACUCUGUCUGAAAUGCCACCAUCUUACCUCUCAGCUCGAACUGUCUCGUCACAUCAUGUUUCUCUCUCUAAAUGUCUAGCUGAGAGGAACAAGCCAGGGGAGACUAAUUUACUCAACCACUAUUUGCAUAAAAAUCCUAGUUUAUGUUAUUACAAAAAAGAAUAAGAUUUGUCUGGCUCAUUUGCUGGUUGGAGAAGAAAAACACAGCCAUAAUUUUAAUAAGGGAUAAUUGUAUGGAGAAACCAGCAGCACUGCCUCAGGCAUUGAGUGAGGGCCAGAGAUUUGAGGUAAUCUUGAAGUUCAAGUUUGAAUUGGACAGAGGUAGGGAAAGAGAGAGGGAAAAAAACGAAAGGAAAAGUAGACACUGUAAUGGGAAGGGGCUGAGCCAACGUUGGGAUGAGAACGUCGUGGAUGAGCCUGAAGGUACAUGAGACACUGGGUGGAGGAGAAGAGGGAGAUUUCGGUAUUUGGGAGAAAAUGCCAGAGGGGCGGGAGGGAAAGGGAAGAUUUAAGACAGCCACACUAUUUUAUUUCCAAUUUUUGCCAUUGAGAAGUUGUUUUUAGAGUCAAAGGAACAAGUCAGUUGGAAUCAGAUCAGUGGGAUACAUGAGGAAGAACUAAAGAGUGGGAACUCAGUGUAGGAAAUUUCAACACGCCUUUGAAUCAGUGGGCGUCUCUCCAGUCUGUGUUGUUUUUAUGCACAGACACUGAAAAGCACAAGAGUUCUGGUUCUACAAUCAACCCACUGCUUUCAAGUAUCGUAAACGCUCAAGGUCCUAAUUUUUCAUAUUUCGCAGGAAAACAUGAAAAAAGAUGAUCCUUAAGAUUUCCUGUAGUUCUAAAGACUACAAUUAUUUUUAUAUUUUAAAAUGAGUCUGCUGCUCACUGCACUAGGCUGACACAAACUCCUCCAAGCGCAUAAGCAUUUCUUGGCCUUGCCAUUACAGAACUCUGGAUUUCAUUGUCGUAAUUUUUACAAUAACCUUUUUCUUUAUUACAAAAAUAAUACACAUAUAGUAUAGAAAAAUCUGAAAGAACAUUGUAAAACGAUAACAUGGUUAACAGUUGGUCUGAAGCUUUCAUUACAAAAGUCAAUUUCCUUGUGUAAGACUAUACUAAAUUAGUGACCAUUUAUUCCCAGUUCUAACAAGCUUGUGUGUGUAUGACAUCUACAGCCAAGAGAUUUCUACAUGAAUAACUACUGAGCACUUCACCCGGAUCAACACAUCUAGGCAGAGUUCAUUCUCCCCAAAAACUCGAUCAACCUAUAUUAAGUAAAAGCUCACAGAAUUAUGUCAAUACAAAUUUCAUCGCUGUGACUUCAAAUUAAUGCCUUCUUCAAGUUCUUUCAGAAAACACAUCCAAAUAAUAAUCAAAGCAUGAACGGGGCACUUUUCAGGGUAAAUCUUCAUGUGUUAACUUUAAACCUCAUAAUAAUAAUAAUACUCUGUGGUGGGUAUUUUGAUCCCAGUUUUAGAGGUAACAUUUCAGAGGUUGGGGAAAUUAAAUGACUUUAUUUCAUCUACUUUGCUAGUAAAUAUCAGAGUCAAAAUCUGAACAUAAAACUUCCUGGUACCAAACCUCAUAUUCUCACAACUACAUCAGCGUUUUACAAACUAUUCCCCAAAUAAUUCUAGUAUCCAGUAAGAUAAUGUUCCAUGAAAAAAGAUAAAGCUGCAUUGUCAGUUAUGUUUGAGAAACACCAUGUUGCAGGGAAUAAACAUGUUUAACGCAAUUCAAUGAUGAGUUUCUUAUUCUUAUUUGAUAGAGAAAAUCUCCGAAAGCUUGUUUUGAGCAGCACACUUUAAUUUGCAUAUAUAUCAUUUUUUAGUAUGCGGUGGGUGAAUGAUGCUUUGAGAAGCUUCCCCCGAUCAAAAGCACGGAGACUGGGACAGUGGAAAAUAAUCAUUUUUCAGAUUCAUGGCCAUAGUUGGAGUCCUUGUAGAUUGAGGGGAAUGAGUUACAUCUGAGGACCAAUGUCCACAUUUAACAUCAAUGUUCAUUUAUUUCUGAGCCAGAAAUAAAUCUGUAAAACUUUCCCAAGGGAUUAUUUUUCUUUACUGAGUGAGCCUCAGUUUCCUCAUUUGUAAACUAAUACUAAUAUAUAAUUAUUGUUAAUAGUGAUAGAAAGCCGAGUGUAGGAGGACAUUAAUUGUCUUAAAAUAUAACACUUUAGGACAAAAAAUACACUCCUGGCUUUUACACAACAGUCAUUGGACUCCCCUCCCCUUUUUUUUUUUCCUUUUAACUAGCAGAUUAACUUUUAAGGAAAUCAGUGUGAUGGUGGUGUGUAAAGGGUUUAGAAUAGGAUCUGCAUUCACUGAAUACAGUGGGGUGGCCCGUAACACUACACAGAAAUGUCUUCCUCCAGCCACUCCAGGGUGGGCUACAGCUUCUUCACGACUUCCGAUUAUUAUUCAUCUGAGAGACUUGGUUCAUUAACCCAAAGCGUACAUCUUCUAAUGUCGCUUGAGUGUAGCAGGUGCCUUGGAAUUUGACAAAGUAUGAUUAUACACUGUUUAUAGUGGCUGGACCGGGGAACUUGAAGUGAGUCACUUCGGAGCUAGCUAGACUCACUGAUUCUGAAGCGCUUACGGAGAAAGAAAGCUGAUCUUGCUGUCAGACCCGGGCCAAAUGGUGCCAUAGAUGGAACCGUCUGUUAUCCACAGCACUCCUGGGACAACAGGACCAUUCACUGAGCUAAGUUCUUUCCUGUACACUCCAAGUUAAAUAACCACUGCCUCCUAGGAACAUUACAUCUAAGCUCAAAAUAGUAGAAGAAAAAAUAAUCAAUUCCGAAUCUUUUCUUUAGGAUCUUAGUAACAGACACUGAUUUUUUGGUGGAAUCAGAUUAAUGGAACUAUAGCUCUUGAAUAUAUAUCCCUUUUAAAUCUUCAGGUGGGCCUUAAUAAUGUCUUUUUCUGGACUCUAAGCUUUUUAUGAAAUCGACAAAUAAAGAUAUUCUACCUGGUCAUGUCUUCUUUACCCUGUGUCAGUCGUAUUUUGCUCUGAGAGCAGUGGCUGGCUUUUAUAGUAAUUCAUGAUCUGGGACUCCAAUGAGAUUAUGCUAGUACAAUGACUCUCAACUGAGGAUGAGGUUACGCCCCGAUAUUUUUGGAUAAAGCAACUGAAAUAAGGUUUGAGAAUCCUACCUGCACCUAAGGGUAGAGAAGAAGGCUGCCACACAUCUUGCAACUCACAAAAUCCUCCUCCCCCAACAUAGGUUUGUCCAACCCUGAAAGUCUGUCAUGCCAAGACGGAGAAACCCUGGCUUCAUGGAAAGCAUUUUUGUGGUUUACAGACACUUUUAGGUAGAGAGAUAUUACUCCUGGCUGCGGGGUGCAGACCUGGGAACACCCUGUGCCGACUUGUCAGGAGAAGGGAAACGGCUGGACACACACGCACACGCACACACACACGAAGCUGCCUGACAUCAUUUUUCCAGACUUACAUGAUGUGCUAUUAAGGGAGAGAUUGCUGAAAAAUCCUCAUAUGUCAAAACAGUGUAAUGUGGAAUUAUAAACACAUUGUAUCUUUCCUAUUUUGGGUGAGAAUUAUGCAAAAGUGAUUUUAUAGGUUUAUGGGGACCAAACCUGCAGCAGUACUAUGAAACUAUGAAAGUCUGCUUUUAAAGUCACACAUUUUACAUAUCCCAGCAGACAGGAAAGUCUUGGUUUGAUGUUAACAACUGCGAAUUGUGACUAUAAAAGAAAAAUUUCUAAGCUCUAAUUAAUUUAAAAGGUAUUUUGUUCUACUAUGCUAAAAAACAAUUAUCUCCCCAUUCUAACUAUAGAAAAUAUUAUGGAAAUGGUCAUGUGAAGAGGUGGUCAAAAGGAUGCAACCAAAAGCCAGGCAUGAUGGUGCAUGUGCCUUGUAAUCCUAGCACUCUAGGAGGCGGAGGCAGGAGGACUGUAUGGUUGAGCCUAGUUUGGGCAAAUUAGUGACUUAGCAAGAUCCUGUGCAAAAACUAAAUUGAAUUAAAUCAGUUAGAAUACUAGGAAUGUAACUCAGUCAGAAGGUCCUGGGUUCAAUCUGGGGUAUUGUUCUUCCAUAAAAAUAUGUAACAGAAAAUGCUGAGGAAAAAAUGUGGAGGUAUAUUAGGGAAUUAACUGAUGAAGUAAAGUGUUAUAUUUU